Molecule: ribosomal RNA, 254 nt
Filed under: uncultured bacterium
Lineage: Bacteria
Description: partial 16S ribosomal RNA
Rfam family: Bacterial small subunit ribosomal RNA
Source: RNAcentral
UACGUAGGGUGCAAGCGUUGUCCGGAAUUAUUGGGCGUAAAGAGCUCGUAGGCGGUUUGUCGCGUCUGCUGUGAAAACCCGAGGCUCAACCUCGGGCCUGCAGUGGGUACGGGCAGACUAGAGUGGCGGUAGGGGAGAUUGGAAUUCCUGGUGUAGCGGUGGAAUGCGCAGAUAUCAGGAGGAACACCGAUGGCGAAGGCAGAUCUCUGGGCCGUAACUGACGCUGAGGAGCGAAAGCAUGGGGAGCGAACAGG